AGGCUGCAACUCGCCUACAUGAAGUCGGAGUUGCUAGUAAUCGCGGAUCAGAAUGCCGCGGUGAAUGCGUUCCCGGGUCUUGUACACACCGCCCGUCACACCAUGGAAGUUGGGGGCGCCCGAAGUUGGUCGAGGAAUAGAUUACCUAGGGCGAAACCAAUGACUGGGGUGAAGUCGUAACAAGGUACC
This 189-nucleotide ribosomal RNA is filed under the name uncultured bacterium. RNAcentral's name for it is "partial 16S ribosomal RNA". It matches the Rfam family "Bacterial small subunit ribosomal RNA", at positions 1302 to 1500 of the family's 1533-position model. The record is from RNAcentral.